RNAcentral lists this ribosomal RNA (253 nucleotides) under uncultured bacterium. RNAcentral's name for it is "partial 16S ribosomal RNA". It matches the Rfam family "Bacterial small subunit ribosomal RNA", at positions 524 to 777 of the family's 1533-position model. The record is from RNAcentral.
UACGGGGGGGGCAAGCGUUGUUCGGAAUUACUGGGCGUAAAGGGCUCGUAGGCGGCCAACUAAGUCGGACGUGAAAUCCCUCAGCUUAACUGGGGAACUGCGUCCGAUACUGGAUGGCUUGGAUUCGGGAGAGGGAUGCGGAAUUCCAGGUGUAGCGGUGAAAUGCGUAGAUAUCUGGAGGAACACCGGUGGCGAAGGCGGCAUCCUGGACCGAUAUGACGCUGAGGAGCGAAAGCCAGGGGAGCAAAACGGG